UGUGGAGAUAAUCAUCCUUGGGGUCCCCUCCUUCUGGCAUGUUCCCUUAGGCGUUUCCUUCCUUCUAGGCAUCCUUCCUCCUUGCGUGGUGGUGGUGGGCUGCUCCAAAAGCUUGAGAUCAAAUCUCAAGUGUAAUUCUCCUUCUUCUCUGAAGAAAGAGUUCAUCUCUCUCUCCUACAGUAUUUGGCAUGCACGCGAAGUA
Molecule: long non-coding RNA, 202 nt
Filed under: Elaeis guineensis (African oil palm)
Lineage: Eukaryota; Viridiplantae; Streptophyta; Magnoliopsida; Arecales; Arecaceae
Description: long non-coding RNA (EGUI_LNC062423)
Source: RNAcentral